UCAGGAUGAACGCUGGCGGCGUGCCUAAUACAUGCAAGUCGAACGAGUUCUGAUUAUUGAAAGGUGCUUGCAUCUUGAUUUAAUUUUGAACGAGUGGCGGACGGGUGAGUAACACGUGGGUAACCUGCCCUUAAGUGGGGGAUAACAUUUGGAAACAGAUGCUAAUACCGCAUAAAUCCAAGAACCGCAUGGUUCUUGGCUGAAAGAUGGCGUAAGCUAUCGCUUUUGGAUGGACCCGCGGCGUAUUAGCUAGUUGGUGAGGUAACGGCUCACCAAGGCAAUGAUACGUAGCCGAACUGAGAGGUUGAUCGGCCACAUUGGGACUGAGACACGGCCCAAACUCCUACGGGAGGCAGCAGUAGGGAAUCUUCCACAAUGGACGCAAGUCUGAUGGAGCAACGCCGCGUGAGUGAAGAAGGCUUUCGGGUCGUAAAACUCUGUUGUUGGAGAAGAAUGGUCGGCAGAGUAACUGUUGUCGGCGUGACGGUAUCCAACCAGAAAGCCACGGCUAACUACGUGCCAGCAGCCGCGGUAAUACGUAGGUGGCAAGCGUUAUCCGGAUUUAUUGGGCGUAAAGCGAGCGCAGGCGGUUUUUUAAGUCUGAUGUGAAAGCCCUCGGCUUAACCGAGGAAGUGCAUCGGAAACUGGGAAACUUGAGUGCAGAAGAGGACAGUGGAACUCCAUGUGUAGCGGUGAAAUGCGUAGAUAUAUGGAAGAACACCAGUGGCGAAGGCGGCUGUCUGGUCUGUAACUGACGCUGAGGCUCGAAAGCAUGGGUAGCGAACAGGAUUAGAUACCCUGGUAGUCCAUGCCGUAAACGAUGAAUGCUAGGUGUUGGAGGGUUUCCGCCCUUCAGUGCCGCAGCUAACGCAUUAAGCAUUCCGCCUGGGGAGUACGACCGCAAGGUUGAAACUCAAAGGAAUUGACGGGGGCCCGCACAAGCGGUGGAGCAUGUGGUUUAAUUCGAAGCAACGCGAAGAACCUUACCAGGUCUUGACAUCUUUUGAUCACCUGAGAGAUCAGGUUUCCCCUUCGGGGGCAAAAUGACAGGUGGUGCAUGGUUGUCGUCAGCUCGUGUCGUGAGAUGUUGGGUUAAGUCCCGCAACGAGCGCAACCCUUAUGACUAGUUGCCAGCAUUUAGUUGGGCACUCUAGUAAGACUGCCGGUGACAAACCGGAGGAAGGUGGGGAUGACGUCAAAUCAUCAUGCCCCUUAUGACCUGGGCUACACACGUGCUACAAUGGAUGGUACAACGAGUUGCGAGACCGCGAGGUCAAGCUAAUCUCUUAAAGCCAUUCUCAGUUCGGACUGUAGGCUGCAACUCGCCUACACGAAGUCGGAAUCGCUAGUAAUCGCGGAUCAGCACGCCGCGGUGAAUACGUUCCCGGGCCUUGUACACACCGCCCGUCACACCAUGAGAGUUUGUAACACCCGAAGCCGGUGGCGUAACCCUUUUAGGGAGCGAGCCGUCUAAGGUGGGACAAAUGAUUAGGGUGAAGUCGUACAG
This 1507-nucleotide ribosomal RNA is filed under the name Lacticaseibacillus rhamnosus. RNAcentral describes it as "bacterial SSU rRNA". It matches the Rfam family "Bacterial small subunit ribosomal RNA". The record is from RNAcentral. Lineage: Bacteria; Bacillati; Bacillota; Bacilli; Lactobacillales; Lactobacillaceae.